GGGCCGGUGGCUCAGUUUGGUAGAGCACCUGAAAUAUGGUGAAACUUUUAUCAAACAAGAGAGAAAUCAGGUGGUCGCGGGUUCAAAUCCCGUCCGGCUCA
This 101-nucleotide transfer RNA is filed under the name Candidatus Woesearchaeota archaeon. Its description in RNAcentral is "tRNA-OTHER". It matches the Rfam family "tRNA". From Rfam's summary of the family: Transfer RNA (tRNA) molecules are approximately 80 nucleotides in length. Their secondary structure includes four short double-helical elements and three loops (D, anti-codon, and T loops). The record is from RNAcentral. Lineage: Archaea; Nanobdellati; Candidatus Woesearchaeota.